Molecule: ribosomal RNA, 1207 nt
Filed under: metagenome
Description: bacterial SSU rRNA
Rfam family: Bacterial small subunit ribosomal RNA
Source: RNAcentral
AUCGGCCACAAGGGGACUGAGACACGGCCCUUACUCCUACGGGAGGCAGCAGUGGGGAAUAUUGGACAAUGGGCCACAAGCCUGAUCCAGCACUUCUGUGUGCACGAUGAAGGUCUUCGGAUCGUAAAGUGCUUUCAGCAGGGAAGAAAAAGAUGACGGUACCUACAGAAGAAGCGACGGCUAAAUACGUGCCAGCAGCCGCGGUAAUACGUAUGUCGCAAGCGUUAUCCGGAAUUAUUGGGCGUAAAGCGCGUCUAGGCGGUCUUUUAAGUCUGAUGUUAAAAUGCGGGGCUCAACUCCGUAUUGUGUUGGAAACUGGAAGACUAGAGUAUCAGAGAGGUGGGCGGAACUACAAGUGUAGAGGUGAAAUUCGUAGAUAUUUGUAGGAAUGCCGAUUGGGAAGCCAGCUCACUGGAUGAAUACUGACGCUGAAGCGCGAAAGCGUGGGGAGCAAACGGGAUUAGAUACCCCGGUAGUCCACGCCGUAAACGAUGAUCACUAAGUGUGGGGGGUCGAACCUCCGUGCUCAAGCUAACGCGAUAAGUGAUCCGCCUGGGGAGUACGCACGCAAGUGUGAAACUCAAAGGAAUUGACGGGGACCCGCACAAGCGGUGGAGCAUGUGGUUUAAUUCGACGCAACGCGAGGAACCUUACCAGCCCUUGACAUCCUCAGAACUUAGCAGAGAUGCUUUGGUGCCACUUCGGUGGAACUGAGUGACAGGUGGUGCAUGGCUGUCGUUAGCUCGUGUCGUGAGAUGUUGGGUUAAGUCCCGCAACGAGCGCAACCCCUUUCGUAUGUUACCAUCAUUAAGUUGGGGACUCAUGCGAUACUGCCGGUGACAAACCGGAGGAAGGUGGGGAUGACGUCAAGUCAUCAUGCCCCUUAUGGGCUGGGCUACACACGUGCUACAAUGGGCGAUACAGAGAGUCGCAAUACCGCGAGGUGGAGCUAAUCUCAGAAAGUCGUUCUUAGUUCGGAUCGCAGUCUGCAACUCGACUGCGUGAAGUUGGAAUCGCUAGUAAUCGCGAAUCAGCAAUGUCGCGGUGAAUACGUUCUCGGGUCUUGUACACACCGCCCGUCACACCACGAGAGUUGGUUGCACCUGAAGUAGCAGGCCUAACCCGUUUACGGGAGGGAUGUUCCUAAGGUGUGAUUGGCGAUUGGGGUGAAGUCGUAACAAGGUAUCCGUACGGGAACGUGCGGAUG